RNAcentral lists this non-coding RNA (28 nucleotides) under Drosophila melanogaster (fruit fly). Lineage: Eukaryota; Metazoa; Arthropoda; Insecta; Diptera; Drosophilidae. RNAcentral also lists the same sequence under 3 other names. The record is from RNAcentral.
UUUGACCUCGGAUCAGGUAGGGAUACCC